Molecule: ribosomal RNA, 581 nt
Filed under: Hyphoderma orphanellum
Lineage: Eukaryota; Fungi; Basidiomycota; Agaricomycetes; Polyporales; Hyphodermataceae
Description: eukaryotic LSU rRNA
Rfam family: Eukaryotic large subunit ribosomal RNA
Source: RNAcentral
AAACUAACAAGGAUUCCCCUAGUAACUGCGAGUGAAGCGGGAAGAGCUCAAAUUUAAAAUCUGGCGGUUAUGCCGUCCGAGUUGUAAUCUGGAGAAGUGUUUUCUGUGCUGGACCGUGCAUAAGUGUCUUGGAAUAGGACGUCAUAGAGGGUGAGAAUCCCGUCUUUGGCACGGACUACCAGUGCUCUGUGAUACGCUCUCAAAGAGUCGAGUUGUUUGGGAAUGCAGCUCAAAAUGGGUGGUAAAUUCCAUCUAAAGCUAAAUAUAGGCGAGAGACCGAUAGCGAACAAGUACCGUGAGGGAAAGAUGAAAAGCACUUUGGAAAGAGAGUUAAACAGUACGUGAAAUUGUUGAAAGGGAAACGCUUGAAGUCAGUCGCGUUGUCCAGGACUCAACCUUAGUUUUCUUUGGUGUAUUUCCUGGUUAACGGGUCAACAUCAAUUUUGAUCGGUGGAAAAAGGCGGCGGGAAUGUGGCACCUUCGGGUGUGUUAUAGCCUGUUGUUGUAUACACUGGUUGGGAUUGAGGAUAUCACGCCCUCGGCGGUAGGAUGUUGGCAUAAUGGCUUUAAGCGACCCGUCU